UCCAGAGGGUGCAAGCGUUGUUCGGAAUUAUUGGGCGUAAAGGGCGCGUAGGCGGUGCGGUAAGUCACCUGUGAAAUCCCCGGGCUUAACCUGGGAACUGCAUUCGGGACUGCAUUGCUAGAGUAUGGGAGAGGGAAGUGGAAUUUCAGGUGUAGCGGUGAAAUGCGUAGAUAUCUGAAGGAACAUCAGUGGCGAAAGCGACUUCCUGGGCCAAUACUGACGCUCAUGUGCGAAAGCGUGGGGAGCAAACAGG
RNAcentral lists this ribosomal RNA (253 nucleotides) under uncultured bacterium. Its description in RNAcentral is "partial 16S ribosomal RNA". It matches the Rfam family "Bacterial small subunit ribosomal RNA", at positions 524 to 776 of the family's 1533-position model. The record is from RNAcentral.